Molecule: ribosomal RNA, 407 nt
Filed under: uncultured bacterium
Lineage: Bacteria
Description: partial 16S ribosomal RNA
Rfam family: Bacterial small subunit ribosomal RNA
Source: RNAcentral
AUUGAACGCUGGCGGCAGGCCUAACACAUGCAAGUCGAGCGGAGCGGCGGACGGGUGCGUAAUGCCUAGGAAUCGGCAUGGGAGUGGGGGAGAACGUCAGGAAACGGGAGCUAAUACCGCAUACUCUCAGAUGAGCAUAGGCCGGAUUAGCUAGUGGGAGGGGUAAAGGCCUACCAAGGCGACGAUCCGUAACUGGUCUGAGAGGAUGAUCAUUCACACUGGAACUGAGACACGGGCCAGACUCCUACGGGAGGCAGCAGUUGGGAAUAUUGGACAAUGGGCGAAAGCCUGAUCCAGCCAUUCCGCGUGUGUGAAGAAGGUCUUCGGAUUGUAAAGCACUUUAAGUUGGGAGGCGUUACCAGCAGAAUAAGCACCGGCUAACUUCGUGCCAGCAGCCGCGGUAAUUC